Long non-coding RNA from Zingiber officinale, 925 nucleotides. RefSeq lists it as uncharacterized. The record is from RefSeq and is a predicted model, not a curated record. Lineage: Eukaryota; Viridiplantae; Streptophyta; Magnoliopsida; Zingiberales; Zingiberaceae. The transcript has 3 exons.
GCUGAAACCUUUCUCCCCCGCGCGUCCUUCUCUUCUUCCCCGCUGAACCACCUGUGCCCUAACCGCCACAAGACCGUUUCUUCCCCUCUUCUUACCACCGGCCAAGUUUCUCCCUCUCCUUCCCUUCCUCUCAGCGCGAUCACCUUUCGGCUCCUCCACCGUCGACGCCGUUCCUCCUCAGCCUAGCGCCGACAGCCGGUUGUUUUUCCUGUGCCGACACUUCACCUCUUCCUGCGUCGCCAUCUGAUUGUUGUCGCUAGCCGACCGCCACGAGAGCACCGCUAGCUCCUCCUCUUGGCCCAUUGUCGGUCGCCAGCGCCUACCGCCUACUGUCGGUGACGCAGCCGAGCACCCACAUGUGUUGGGCGUGCCCUAGGUGUCAACCUCUUCUGAUCUCUGUGUGCCAACGCCAAAGCCGCCGCAACCCUUUUCUUCUCCCGAACUGAUCUUCUGCCCUAGCAUCGGCAACGAAGCCUUAUUCCUCUAUUCUUCUUGCUGCCGACGCCAUUGGAGCCCUAGACUUCCACCACUGCAUGUGGGAGUUGCUGGAGAGAUUAUUCGGUUGCUGAUCACCAGAGGGGACCGAGCCUCCUCCAAGUCCUAGUCUCAUCCUCUGUUAAAUCUCUGGCAGAGAGGAAGAGCUUGACAUCAUUGCAAGUAAAGCAUGUUUGGGUCAAGAUUGGAGAGGAAUUCAGAGGGAGGUUUGCUGUGGUGUUCUUGUCUAGCUGUUUACCCUAGAUUCAAGCAGCCGACAGCCACCUUCCAACAACAAACAACUCUAACAUUGCAACCACUCCCAUCCAGCUUCCCUUGUUCCAGCAUUAACAGGGGCUGUGAGAUUGAGGACGUUGAUUCGGGACGAGCACUUCGACAUAGAUGUUGAUUAGCUCGAUCUACAUUGGAGGCGGGUACCUUGACUUAUCUU